UCUUACCUGCAUUUUCUCCACUUUGGGCUUCCCUUUGGUGUCCCACUUCUUUUACCCACAUUUUCUCCACUUUUGGCUUCUCUGAGGUGUCCCGAUUCUUUUACCCGCAUUUUCUCCACUUUUGGCUUCCCUGAGGUGUCCCGAUUCUUUUACCCGCAUUUUCUCCACUUUUGGCUUCCCUGAGGUGUCCCACUUCUUUUACCCGCAUUUUCUCCACUUUUGGCUUCCCUGAGGUGUCCCGAUUUUUUUACCCGCAUUUUCUCCACGUUUGGCUUCCCUUUGGUGUCCCACUUCUUUUACCCAUAUUUUCUCCACUUUUGGCUUCCCUUUGGUGUCCCGCUUCUUUUACCCACAUUUUCUCCACUUUUGGCUUCCCUUUGGUGUCCCGCUUCUUUUACCCACAUUUUCUCCACUUUUGGCUUCCCUGAAGUGUCCCAAUUCUUCAGUCCAAACUGCACCGUUUUCCUUCUUGUAGACAUGCCAGAACUCCAUGUUCUUGACAUUUUCUUGACUUUCUUUCCGCGUCAAAUGAGAGCGGCUUAAGUAUGCACAUAAAUGAGCGGUGAGGAGAUGCUGGAUUUUGCGUCUUUCUGCAACAACGCUUGCUGUAUGAUGAGGAAAAAAAUGACAGACCUGCAUUGAGCAUUCUUAGCGCGGGGGUGCAUGAAUUUUUUUGCAGCAUAUUGAUUAAAUCAAGCGCC
Molecule: long non-coding RNA, 701 nt
Organism: Hippocampus zosterae (dwarf seahorse)
Lineage: Eukaryota; Metazoa; Chordata; Actinopteri; Syngnathiformes; Syngnathidae
Exons: 2
Source: RefSeq, a predicted model, not a curated record